This 849-nucleotide ribosomal RNA is filed under the name Candidatus Phytoplasma prunorum. RNAcentral's name for it is "bacterial SSU rRNA". It matches the Rfam family "Bacterial small subunit ribosomal RNA", at positions 397 to 1258 of the family's 1533-position model. Lineage: Bacteria; Bacillati; Mycoplasmatota; Mollicutes; Acholeplasmatales; Acholeplasmataceae. The record is from RNAcentral.
CCACGGGGACAAUGAAGUAUUUAGGUACGUAAAGUUCUUUUAUUAAAGAAGAAAAAAUGAUGGAAAAAUCAUUCUGACGGUAUUUAAUGAAUAAGCCCCGGCUAACUAUGUGCCAGCAGCUGCGGUAAUACAUGGGGGGCAAGCGUUAUCCGGAUUUAUUGGGCGUAAAGGGUGCGUAGGCGGUUAAAUAAGUCUAUGGUAUAAGUUCAACGCUUAACGUUGUGAUGCUAUAGAAACUGUUUGACUAGAGUUGGAUAGAGGCAAGUGGAAUUCCAUGUGUAGCGGUAAAAUGCGUAAAUAUAUGGAGGAACACCAGUAGCGAAGGCGGCUUGCUGGGUCUUAACUGACGCUGAGGCACGAAAGCGUGGGGAGCAAACAGGAUUAGAUACCCUGGUAGUCCACGCCGUAAACGAUGAGUACUAAGUGUUGGGUUAAACCAGUGCUGAAGUUAACACAUUAAGUACUCCGCCUGAGUAGUACGUACGCAAGUAUGAAACUUAAAGGAAUUGACGGGACUCCGCACAAGCGGUGGAUCAUGUUGUUUAAUUCGAAGAUACACGAAAAACCUUACCAGGUCUUGACAUACUCUGCAAAGCUAUAGAAAUAUAGUGGAGGUUAUCAGGGAUACAGGUGGUGCAUGGUUGUCGUCAGCUCGUGUCGUGAGAUGUUGGGUUAAGUCCCGCAACGAGCGCAACCCUUAUCACUAGUUACCAUCAUUUAGUUGGGCACUUUAGUGAGACUGCCAAUGAUAAAUUGGAGGAAGGUGGGGAUUACGUCAAAUCAUCAUGCCCCUUAUGACCUGGGCUACAAACGUGAUACAAUGGCUGUUACUGAAAAACUGAAAAAAGG